UACGGAGGGUGCAAGCGUUAUCCGGAUUUAUUGGGUUUAAAGGGUGCGUAGGCGGCCUUUUAAGUCAGUGGUGAAAUCCUAGUGCUCAACACUAGAACUGCCAUUGAAACUAAAAGGCUUGAGUCAAGGAGAGGUAAGCAGAAUUUAUGGUGUAGCAGUGAAAUGCUUAGAUAUCAUAAGGAAUACCAACAGCGAAGGCAGCUUACUGGCCUUGUACUGACGCUGAGGCACGAAAGCGUGGGGAGCAAACAGG
Molecule: ribosomal RNA, 253 nt
Filed under: uncultured bacterium
Lineage: Bacteria
Description: partial 16S ribosomal RNA
Rfam family: Bacterial small subunit ribosomal RNA
Source: RNAcentral